Molecule: ribosomal RNA, 468 nt
Filed under: uncultured bacterium
Lineage: Bacteria
Description: partial 16S ribosomal RNA
Rfam family: Bacterial small subunit ribosomal RNA
Source: RNAcentral
GACGAACGCUGGCGGCGUGCUUAACACAUGCAAGUCGAACGGAAAGGCCCUGCUUUUGUGCGGUCCUCGAGUGGCGAACGGGUGAGUAACACGUGAGUAACCUCCCCUUGACUUUGGGAUAACUUCAGGAAACUGGGGCUAUUACCGGAUAUGAGCUCCUUCUGCAUGGUGGUUGUGGGAAAGUUUCGGCGUUGGGGCAUUGACUCGAGACCUAUCAGCUUGUUGGUGGGGUAGUGACUUACCAAGUCAUCGACGGGUAGCCGGCCUGAGAGGGUGACCGGCCACAUUGGCAUUGAGAUGCCGCCCGGACUGCUACGGGAGGCAGCAGCGGGGAUUAUUGCACGAUGGGCGGAAGCCUUAUGCAGCAACGCCGCGUGCGAGAUGACGGCCUUCGGGUUGUAAACCGCUUUCGCCUGUGACGAAGCGUGAGUGACGGUAAUGGGUAAAGAAGCACCGGCUAACUACGUG